AGUGAACGCUGGCGGUAGGCCUAACACAUGCAAGUCGAACGGCAGCACAGGAGAGCUUGCUCUCUGGGUGGCGAGUGGCGGACGGGUGAGGAAUACAUCGGAAUCUACUCUGUCGUGGGGGAUAACGUAGGGAAACUUACGCUAAUACCGCAUACGACCUACGGGUGAAAGCAGGGGACCUUCGGGCCUUGCGCGAUUGAAUGAGCCGAUGUCGGAUUAGCUAGUUGGCGGUGUAAAGGCCCACCAAGGCGACGAUCCGUAGCUGGUCUGAGAGGAUGAUCGGCCACACUGGAACUGAGACACGGUCCAGACUCCUACGGGAGGCAGCAGUGGGGAAUAUUGGACAAUGGGCGCAAGCCUGAUCCAGCCAUACCGCGUGGGUGAAGAAGGCCUUCGGGUUGUAAAGCCCUUUUGUUGGGAAAGAAAUCCAGCUGGCUAAUACCCGGUUGGGAUGACGGUACCCAUAGAAUAAGCACCGGCUAACUUCGUGCCAGCAGCCGCGGUAA
This 506-nucleotide ribosomal RNA is filed under the name uncultured bacterium. RNAcentral's name for it is "partial 16S ribosomal RNA". It matches the Rfam family "Bacterial small subunit ribosomal RNA", at positions 29 to 523 of the family's 1533-position model. The record is from RNAcentral.